RNAcentral lists this transfer RNA (72 nucleotides) under Marmota marmota marmota (Alpine marmot). It matches the Rfam family "tRNA". Rfam says of the family: Transfer RNA (tRNA) molecules are approximately 80 nucleotides in length. RNAcentral also lists the same sequence under 3 other names. The record is from Rfam by way of RNAcentral. Lineage: Eukaryota; Metazoa; Chordata; Mammalia; Rodentia; Sciuridae.
GGGAAUGUAGCUCAGUGGUAGAGGAUGUGCUUAGCAGGUAGAAGGCCCUUGGUUCCAUCCCUAGCACUGCCA